ACUGGUCGUCACCAGUGAGGCUCUUCCACCACCGUGGGUCGUCGUCUGCCCUAAUGUGAGCUUGACCUUGCCUUGCUGCCCCAAUUGGUUCUCUGGUGGUCAUGGAGCAGCUCCAUCAGAUCAUUGGUGAGGGUACUUGGAUUGAAAAUCCA
Zingiber officinale is the source of this 152-nucleotide long non-coding RNA. RefSeq lists it as uncharacterized. The record is from RefSeq and is a predicted model, not a curated record. Lineage: Eukaryota; Viridiplantae; Streptophyta; Magnoliopsida; Zingiberales; Zingiberaceae. The transcript is spliced from 3 exons.